GAUUAAGUUAUUAAGGGCGCACGGUGGAUGCCUUGGCACUAGAAGCCGAUGAAGGACGUUACUAACGACGAUAUGCUUUGGGGAGCUGUAAGUAAGCUUUGAUCCAGAGAUUUCCGAAUGGGGAAACCCAGCAUGAGUUAUGUCAUGUUAUCGAUAUGUGAAUACAUAGCAUAUCAGAAGGCACACCCGGAGAACUGAAACAUCUUAGUACCCGGAGGAAGAGAAAGAAAAUUCGAUUCCCUUAGUAGCGGCGAGCGAAACGGGAAGAGCCCAAACCAACAAGCUUGCUUGUUGGGGUUGUAGGACACUCUAUACGGAGUUACAAAGGACGACAUUAGACGAAUCAUCUGGAAAGAUGAAUCAAAGAAGGUAAUAAUCCUGUAGUCGAAAAUGUUGUCUCUCUUGAGUGGAUCCUGAGUACGACGGAGCACGUGAAAUUCCGUCGGAAUCUGGGAGGACCAUCUCCUAAGGCUAAAUACUCUCUAGUGACCGAUAGUGAACCAGUACCGUGAGGGAAAGGUGAAAAGCACCCCGGAAGGGGAGUGAAAUAGAACCUGAAACCGUGUGCUUACAAGUAGUCAGAGCCCGUUAAUGGGUGAUGGCGUGCCUUUUGUAGAAUGAACCGGCGAGUUACGAUUUGAUGCAAGGUUAAGCAGUAAAUGUGGAGCCGUAGCGAAAGCGAGUCUGAAUAGGGCGUUUAGUAUUUGGUCGUAGACCCGAAACCAGGUGAUCUACCCUUGGUCAGGUUGAAGUUCAGGUAACACUGAAUGGAGGACCGAACCGACUUACGUUGAAAAGUGAGCGGAUGAACUGAGGGUAGCGGAGAAAUUCCAAUCGAACCUGGAGAUAGCUGGUUCUCUCCGAAAUAGCUUUAGGGCUAGCCUCAAGUGA
RNAcentral lists this ribosomal RNA (891 nucleotides) under Staphylococcus aureus. RNAcentral describes it as "partial 23S ribosomal RNA". It matches the Rfam family "Bacterial large subunit ribosomal RNA", at positions 1 to 889 of the family's 2925-position model. Lineage: Bacteria; Bacillati; Bacillota; Bacilli; Caryophanales; Staphylococcaceae. The record is from RNAcentral.